Molecule: ribosomal RNA, 464 nt
Filed under: uncultured Schwartzia sp.
Lineage: Bacteria; Bacillati; Bacillota; Negativicutes; Selenomonadales; Selenomonadaceae
Description: bacterial SSU rRNA
Rfam family: Bacterial small subunit ribosomal RNA
Source: RNAcentral
CCUACGGGUGGCAGCAGUGGGGAAUCUUCCGCAAUGGGCGAAAGCCUGACGGAGCAACGCCGCGUGAGUGAAGAAGGUCUUCGGAUCGUAAAGCUCUGUUGUCGGGGACGAAAGGGUAGACGAGGUAAUGCGUUUACUAAGACGGUACCCGACGAGGAAGCCACGGCUAACUACGUGCCAGCAGCCGCGGUAAUACGUAGGCGGCAAGCGUUGUCCGGAAUUAUUGGGCGUAAAGGGAGCGCAGGUGGGACGGUAAGUCCGUCUUAAAAGGCAGGGGCUCAGCCCCUGUAAGGGAUGGAAACUAUCGAUCUUGAGUGCCGGAGAGGAAAGCGGGAUUCCCAGGGUAGCGGUGAAAUGCGUAGAUAUUGGGAAGAACACCAGUGGCGAAGGCGGCUUUCUGGACGGCAACUGACACUGAGGCUCGAAAGCCAGUGGAGCGAACGGGAUUAGAUACCCGUGUAGUC